RNAcentral lists this ribosomal RNA (254 nucleotides) under uncultured bacterium. Its description in RNAcentral is "partial 16S ribosomal RNA". It matches the Rfam family "Bacterial small subunit ribosomal RNA", at positions 524 to 776 of the family's 1533-position model. The record is from RNAcentral.
UACGGGGGGAGCAAGCGUUGUUCGGAUUUACUGGGCGUAAAGGGCGCGUAGGCGGUCAGCACAAGUCAGUUGUGAAAUCUCCGGGCUUAACUCGGAAAGGUCAACUGAUACUGUGCGACUAGAGUGCGGAAGGGGCAACUGGAAUUCUCGGUGUAGCAGUGAAAUGCGUAGAUAUCGAGAGGAACACCAGUGGCGAAGGCGAGUCCCUGGACAACUACUGACACUGAGGCACGAAAGCUAGGGGAGCAAACAGG